AACCUACACGUUCCGGGUUUCUUGACAAUUUGAACCUUUUUUUUAUAUUUUAUGGUUCGUUGUCGACGAAACCUGCAUUGUGUAGGA
This 87-nucleotide microRNA precursor is filed under the name Pediculus humanus corporis (human body louse). Its description in RNAcentral is "microRNA, putative". It matches the Rfam family "mir-981 microRNA precursor family". The record is from RNAcentral. Lineage: Eukaryota; Metazoa; Arthropoda; Insecta; Psocodea; Pediculidae.